Molecule: ribosomal RNA, 301 nt
Filed under: uncultured bacterium
Lineage: Bacteria
Description: partial 16S ribosomal RNA
Rfam family: Bacterial small subunit ribosomal RNA
Source: RNAcentral
CAGUAGCCGCGGGAAUACAGAGGGUGCAAGCGUUAAUCGGAAUUACUGGGCGUAAAGCGCGCGUAGGUGGUUUGUUAAGUUGGAUGUGAAAUCCCCGGGCUCAACCUGGGAACUGCAUCCAAAACUGGCAAGCUAGAGUAUGGUAGAGGGUGGUGGAAUUUCCUGUGUAGCGGUGAAAUGCGUAGAUAUAGGAAGGAACACCAGUGGCGAAGGCGACCACCUGGACUGAUACUGACACUGAGGUGCGAAAGCGUGGGGAGCAAACAGGAUUAGAGACCCGCGUAGUCCCUGUCUCUUAUAA